RNAcentral lists this long non-coding RNA (487 nucleotides) under Elaeis guineensis (African oil palm). Its description in RNAcentral is "long non-coding RNA (EGUI_LNC039251)". Lineage: Eukaryota; Viridiplantae; Streptophyta; Magnoliopsida; Arecales; Arecaceae. The record is from RNAcentral.
GGCCCCCUCUGGGCUGGGCCUCCCAAUAUCUGUCCAAGCUAAGCAAUGUAGAUUAAAACUUGGCCAAUUAGGUAGUUACCUAGCACUUAAGACCUAAAUAGCUUGGAGAUAAAAUGCUUCUGGAAGGCCAACACUAAGUUCACAUUUUGGAAUGGCUCAAAGUUAGGGCGCAAGGCCCUUGACAAUCACUCGAUGGUUGAUCGACAAAACUAAGGCUGUGGGGCAAGUCUCAAAGGCCACUUCAACAGCAAGUUCAUACCUCAGCCCCUAGUAAAGGAUCAACCGAGCUGAAAGUCAAUAACACCAGCCACACCAUUCAUCAAAGCAAAAGAUAUAGGAAGAUAAUUUUUUCUAUUAAUCAAUUUUGAUUAUAAAAUUGUUAGCUAGGGAUCUGAGCAUAUGUGCAAAAAGAAAAGCAAAAGCCUAAGUCUAUGGGUGGAUCUGCUAAGGUAGUUAUUAGAUGAAAUGCUACACCACAACUCCAUCC